GCAGAAGUAUUGAGUUGUGUCCCUCUAUAUAUAUUUGCCCAACCCCUCCUACUGUUAUCAUCCAACUCCAAAUUAGGUUUUCUUUCCUUCUACUCCUUUUUUUUACUUUCCUUUUCUCCUUACCGGUUAGAUCUCAGCCGUUCUGAAGUUUUUUUAAUUAAAAGUAUUUUCUUCUGUUUACAAAAAUGUACAUUUUGGUGUUGUUCUAUACAUAUAUGUGUCUAUUUGAUUGUUCUUCAGAUUUCAGCAAUAUUUGCAUAUAUAGUUAUUUCUUUUGAUCAUUAUCCCCUUCCGUAUAUACUGUGAUUUGCUAAUAUGUGUGUUUUCCCCUUCACAUAGAUUUUAUUAUUGUUUUUCUUCAUUAGUUAUCUUGAAUCGAAAAGGGUCGAUGUUUUUUUAUCAGUUGAAAAUUUGUAUUAAAAGUGAGUCCAAGGGGGUACUCAAGAUUAUUUUUUUACCACAAACAUCAUUAAGUUACUUGUAGAUUUUGAAGGUAACUAGCUUGGCUUAAGUCCUAUUUUCUGCAGUUUUUUCGAGCUUAAUUUAGAGGUUGUGAAAGUAUGCAGUUUUUUCUUUGUUUAACUUUUUAAUUUUAAAAAAAUCUAACUUUAAUUACUGUGCCUAUGUAUGUUUCAUGUUGUCCCAUAUUUAAUUCCUCUUUAGUCAACAAAUUUUCUGUUAGAUUGUUCAUUCUUUGUGUAAAUUGACAGUU
This is a non-coding RNA of Lupinus albus (white lupine), 712 nucleotides long. The record is from the annotation of a GenBank genome assembly. NCBI's taxonomy places the organism in Eukaryota, Viridiplantae, Streptophyta, Magnoliopsida, Fabales, Fabaceae.